AGUGAACGCUGGCGGUAGGCCUAACACAUGCAAGUCGAACGGCAGCACAGUAAGAGCUUGCUCUUACGGGUGGCGAGUGGCGGACGGGUGAGGAAUACAUCGGAAUCUACUUUUUCGUGGGGGAUAACGUAGGGAAACUUACGCUAAUACCGCAUACGACCUACGGGUGAAAGCAGGGGAUCUUCGGACCUUGCGCGGUUGAAUGAGCCGAUGUCGGAUUAGCUAGUUGGCGGGGUAAAGGCCCACCAAGGCGCCGAUCCGUAGCUGGUCUGAGAGGAUGAUCAGCCAGACUGGAACUGAGACACGGUCCAGACUCCGACGGGAGGCAGCAGUGGGGAAUAUUGGACAAUGGGGGCAAGCCGGAUCCAGCCAUACCGCGUGAGUGAAGAAGGCCUUCGGGUUGUAAAGCCCUUUUGUUGGGAAAGAAAAGCAGCAGGUUAAUACCCCGCUGUUCUGACGGUACCCAAAGAAUAAGCACCGGCUAACUUCGUG
This 492-nucleotide ribosomal RNA is filed under the name uncultured bacterium. RNAcentral describes it as "partial 16S ribosomal RNA". It matches the Rfam family "Bacterial small subunit ribosomal RNA", at positions 29 to 507 of the family's 1533-position model. The record is from RNAcentral.